Molecule: long non-coding RNA, 2056 nt
Organism: Micropterus dolomieu (smallmouth bass)
Lineage: Eukaryota; Metazoa; Chordata; Actinopteri; Centrarchiformes; Centrarchidae
Exons: 2
Source: RefSeq, a predicted model, not a curated record
AAGAGAAGGCUGAAGCAGGUAGAGAGAGAGGAUGGACUGGCCUUAUGUGGGUUCAUGAUUUUGUGGGCAAGGAAACAUCUCGGCGAGUACCACCGUUUAGUCCAAGAGGACGAAGCUCGGUUCCAGGAUCCUGAAGGAGGCAGCACUAGUGGCAAAGGACACAGUUGUAUGUGCCUUUCAUAAGGAAAACAUGGAGUGGUGCCUAUGUGUCUGGAGGGGCUGGGGCUGCCACGAGCUGGAGGUCUUCUACCAGUCCUACGAGGAGCUGAGCCACUUGGAGACCAGCAUAAGGAAAAGAAAGUAGCUGUUGUGCUGCGACGGCAAGGUGCAGAAUUGCAGCUCUGUAUGGAGGAUGACCCGAGGGGAAUACACACAGACACUCUGCCAGUUCUCAGAGCGAACACGGACAUCAGGUCAUUUUCAUAUUUAGUGCUGUAUGGUAUUUUUGGCCCCUGUUUGAUAUGAGUGGGAUUCAGUUCAAGAUGUGGUGGAUUCUGCCUCCAACUGCUGCAGUCCAUUGUGUAUCCUUCGUCUGUCCAAUUCAGUUUCCCUUCAUUUAACUAUUCCAAUCUGCCACUUUAUGCCCUCUGGAGGUGACACUCAAUGUGGACAUUCGUAAAGGAAAAGGGUUAAUUGGUAUUAACAGCAAUGUUCUUGAAACAAACAGCUGGUUGUGGAUUGGUGGAUGCAGUAGAUGUGUACAGAGACAUCAUUAUCUGUAUCUGUUUAACCAACAAAAUGAUCUGUCUUUAUAUCUGUAUUCAGAUAGAGGGCCCAAUGUGGGUGUGGUUUAUAAAGGAAGCCAUGUUAAAUCACAUGUUGUAUUUUCUAACCUCAUAUACACUGGCAAUGGAAUUGUUUUGCCUUUAAAGCAUCAACUUGAUAAUAUAAUAAUACAUCCUACACUUUUCAUCUCUCUCUCUCUUUUAUUUUUUUAUUUUUAGCCAAACAAACUGUCUGAACCCUCCACCACCCAACCUUUAACUGGGAGACAUUGAACAAACAGAAACUGAAGAACAAUGUUUUCUAAAUUAACUAUAUAGAACCAUAUCCUUCAGUUGAGGGGAAUAAUCUUAAAUUCCAAUGGGCUUCAAUCACAUUAAAUGUCAAUCCAACAACACUAGUAGAACAACAUGGCGCCACCGAGCCAUGAUGUCCAAACAAUCUGCAUAGACCGAUUUUGCAGCCUGUGCAUAGAACUGAGUUAUAAGUAUACAACAGCCUUCUUCUGUACAGCAUCACUACAGUUAACCAGAAAAUCACCAAACAAAUCACCAACAAUAAAUAAAAAGAGCUAUGGAUACUGUGGCAGGUGCAACAAGCAAUAUUAGGUUACAGAAAUGAAAUAAAACAUAAGCAAUGCAAAUAAAACAGAGGUGUAUGAAAAAUAUAAAGUCCACAGUGGCUCCAGCCACAAACACACAUAUCAAAGCAGAGAGAGCGGCGCAGUUUUCACACAUUGUGACAGAUGCACACUGCACUGUGGUACACAGGGAAUACAGUCAUUGUACUCACCUGUCUAAAUGUCAUUCUGUUUAUAUUAUGGCCAAUCCUCUCAGCCUCUGGGUCCAAAUAUAACCAGUCCACCUCUUUGUCCCACUAAAACCAGUCUGCUUAGCCUACUGCUCACAAACUGCUAGGCCUGGCCCGGGAGAGACUGCAUGUAUCCCCCAACACUGGCCAGUGGAGCUGGGGUAGAAGAAAUAUGCAUUUUCAUUCCAUUAUUUAUGCUUUCCUAAAUAACGGCACUGACACUUUCACACACUUGUCCUCUCUCAUCUAGUAUAUUUUAGAUGUGGCAUAUGAAUCUGCAUGCCAGCUGCAGCUCCAAUUGUUACCAAAGUGGCCUGGAAGCAAAAAAUGAACAUCUGUGUUCUGUGUUAUGCAACAGACCACUGGUUCCCAGCUUGUGCCAAUAAAAACCUAAUACUUUGACGGAUAAAAGACCACAAUGGUUUAAAUGAUUCUGGCAUAAGCCUCCACUGUGAGUUACUUGCUCGACUGUGUUCCACUAGUAUCUGUACCUCAAAAAGAAUAAAAAAACAAGAUGAAACCA